GAGCGCGGCGGAGGCGGAGGCGGAGACGCGGCGAGGGGGGCCGAGCGCUACCCCGUGGCCGCGACUGGAGAGCAGCCUGCGCGCGGGGAGGGGGAGCGGCGGCGGCGGCCCCGAGCCAGGCCCGGGAGCGAGCCCCGCGGAAACGCGAGCCGUUUGCGCGGCCGCGGGCGCCCAGCGUCUCCGGGACCCGCCGGAGGGCAGCAGUGGAAACCUGGAACCUUAGCCAGGCGGGAUGCGCUCAGAGCCCCUGGGGUCUCUUCCAGCCUCGAACCGGUACCCCCAUCUCAGAGAUCUCAUUCGACCUCUCUUCCCAGCUGGGAACCCUAACACCCUUCCCGGACGUUGAGUAACACGGGUGGACGGAGAGCCGGGAACGGGGGUUCGGUCAACUGGUUGAUUAGAGUUUCCCCUUCCCAGGUCAGGCUUUCAAAAGUCUGAAACCGCUCAGAACAGAGAGCAAGACGAAAGAGAGGCAGGGGACUUACAGAUGGCCCAGAAAGUGAAGUUGGUGCCAAGGCACAUGCAUCCUUUGUUUCUUCUUUAAAAAAAAAAAAUUAUUAUUAUUUUUUUUUCCUUUUGAGCUUUCUUGCAAAGAGUAGAAGAACGGUAAAUUAGAGAAGAAGCUAUAACAAGGAAGCUCGGAGGUUUCCUUUGUGAGGGACCAGAGAAGUCAGCUGAACUCAGGAACUGAGCCCAGCAUUCCUGAGGCAGACGCCCAGCACGGGAUUCCAGGACUCGGUUACACAGUCCUGGGUACUAGACAGCCUUGCUUCCAGAGACCCCUACCUCCAUGAAAACACCCAUCUGUGUAUGUUGAAAAUAAUAUUUAUGACUGUUUUGGCACAGAGACGAAUAUAUUAAUAUUACAUAUUGAAACCAUUGUCUUCAACCUGAAAGUUCAUUGGUUUCUCCUGAUUUUAAAAGAAAGGAAAACAUUUCCCUGUCGUGUUGCUGGUGCUGCACCGGCGGAGCCGCGUGGCAUCUCCCUGUCCCCUUGGUGUUUCUGCUGAGAGCAAAGAGCUGCAGAGAUGCCACCUGCGGGCACCGCGCUUUUGUCCUCUCUCUCCCUGGCGGCCCUUUCCACCCCAGAGGGCAUCCUUUCUGUUUGCUGUGGAGCAGACACAGCCCUGCCAAGCUUUCAUCACUUUUAUAUUCCCAUCUCACUUACCUCGGAAAAAGAACCCUGGGCCUCCUCUGACAGCGGCUGAGAAGCCAGCCUGCUUUACCCACGUGCUUCCAUUGCCUAAUCAAACACUAUUUCAUGACUUUCCGCCCCCCAUGGAACCUGUGCUUCAUCCCAGGCUGAAGUCCUUCUGACUGGCUGACGAGUAAAGGGGGGGGGAAGCUUCGAGGGCCAGGUGGCCCAGGUGUGGCCAGCCCGCCUUUGUCUUACUGGCCACGUCAUUGCUGGCUGCUUGGGGAUGACCAGCUGGGGCCUCGCACACACCUGCCUGCUCUCACCGCCCCGUCCUGGGGCUCAGGCCCUUCCCAGACCUCCAGAACAGCUGUCCACAUGAUGCUGUUACACUUUCUGCUCACAGAGGGGGCCUGAGAGCCGGAUUUGCAGAAACCUCUGCUUCUCAGCCAGCAAAGGACCAGCAGAAAGGCUGUUCUCCGUUCUCUAAGAGUGGGUGCUCCCAUCCACCCGAACAGCCACCUUCCUCGUGUCCAGUCCCAGACUUCAGCUGCCAGGAGUCUGAACCAGAUGCUACUAGGAGCUCUGAACAGCGUUUAUUUCUUUGUCAAAAGAGACAUGGUUGCACAACUGUGUGUAGCCCCAUGCACCUUCUUCUGGGAUUUUAAUCCCCACAGGCCAGGGCCGGGCCUGAACCGGUGGCGGCUGGUGGUGGAGGAGGUGUCCUUCUGUGUCGGAAGCCUCCAGGCGUGCCUGCUUGUUAGAGAGCGAAGAGGACGGUACCCUUGCAGCAAACCUUUGUGUCCGUCCAUCUGAGGCUGUCUCCCGCCUCUGCCUGUACGCACACAGACAGGAGGGAACUGAUUUUGCUUCUGAGUUUCCCUGGCCCAGGAGGAGGCUGAGCAGGGAGCCUGCUGCGGUGAGAAGGGCUAGUUACAGAGAAAGUCACUUGCAGACACCAUGACCUCAUUCUUGCCAGCAGCGGUGUAAUUAGAGGUUGCAAGCGGCGCAGUUACAGUGGGGACCCCAUCAGGAGGGGCUGUGUGGCUGUCCCAGGCUCUCCACUGCCUCCCUGGCCCCUUUUGAGUCUGUGGGUAUAGCUCUCCCGGAAAGCUCGGUGGCACAGGAUCUGGGGCUUUCCCCUCAUUUAUAUCCCACCUCCCUACAUCCCCAGAUCAUGCAGGCCCACAGAAGGCUCUUUCUUGGCGACGCUCUCCCCAUCCAUUCCAGUCUGUAAAUUCGAGGUGGCGGGUGGGCACAGCCAUUGAGUUGAGCACAAUUCAUUUCAAACGAGAAGGAAAGGCUGGGGUCACCCCGCUGCCCCCGCCCCCUCUCCCAUUCCAGGUGGAUGCCGUGUGUUUAAAACGUCAUCCUUCUUGUAGAAAAACCUUUGCAAGGGCCCCAAACAGGACCACGCUUUCUCCCAUCCCACACAUCCCAGCCCGUGCAAGAGCAUUACUGCAGAACUUGGCCAAGGAGCCUUCGGUGUGGGAGGUAAAUUACACCGUGUGCCAGCCAAGAGCGGGGAGACCAAGCCCAGGACGGUCAGAUGGAGCUGUUCAAUCUCACAGAAGGCUAAGAUCCUCCCCAUCACCCCUCAACCUCCAGCCUGUCUUCCGCCUCAUCGUACACACAGAAACCAAAGGGGCCAGGCAAAUCCUCCACCCGCAGGGACCAGGCGGGAGGCAGUGAUCCUGCAGAGGACGGAGAAAGCGAUGGAGUCAAGUUGAUCAAGAGGUUUAUUAGUCUCCAUCGGAAAAGAGGGAUGCUCUGGGGUCCUGUCUCAGGCAGCUGGGGCUUCCCUGACCAAAUGCCACAGGCUGCGGGCUGGGAAGUCCAAGGUCAAGGGGCUGGUGUAGUCAACUCUUGGGGAAGGCUCUCCCUCUGGCUUGUAGACGGCCACUUUCUUGCUGUGUCCUCAUGUGGGAGAGAGAGGGGGCCGAGGAGGGGGAGGCUGGAGGAAGGGAAAGAGCUCUGGGCUCACGUCCUCUUUUUUUAAACAGUAUUUGUGAUUUAUUUUUGGCUGUGUUAGGCCUUAGCUGAGGCCUGUGGGCUCAGUAGCUGCUGCGCACAGGCUUAGUAGCUCUGAGACACAUGGGAUCCUGGCUUCCCAACUUGGGAUCGAACCUGAAUCCUCUGCACUGGAAGACAGAUUCUUAACCACUGGGCCCUCAGGGAAGUCCCCCACUUCCUCUUUUUAUAAGGACACCAAUCCCACCUUUGGUGUCCCAUCCAUGUGUGCCCAUCUAAACCCAAUUAUUCAUGUCUCCAAGAGACCCCAUUUUUAAAUAUUGUCACAUUUGUGAAGGUUGAAAGCUGGGGGAGAAGACAGUUUACACCGCUACAGUCCCCUAACCCAAGAUCCACCCCAUCCUCAAUUACGUGCUGUAACUUACUGUCACUCCCUUAGGAGAAAGGGCCUAAGAAAACAACACAUGUUCAUGGCUGGGCUGGGGCAGCCUGCUUCUCUGGCUUUCCUGUGCCAAGGCCAGAACCACCGUGAGGGUAGCUACCCAUCUCCCAAACCCAGGAUCUGACUGGCUGUGAAAAUACCUAAAUGGUCUGGGGUUUCCUCUUCCAUGCCCUCCAGGAGGAGGGAAAGAGACACAGAGAGAUGGAGGAGAAACCCAGCAACACCAGUGCAGAAAUGAGAUGCACGUGGCCUGCUGGUCCGGAGCCAGGUGCAAGCCAGAGAGACGGAGGUUAACAGACCACAGGAGACAGCGUUUUUAAACAAUAAAACUGCUAAAUGUAGGCUAGGCUGGGGAAGGAAGUGAACGCAUGAGGAAGCACAGGCAUCUGCUGUAUCUAGGCCAUUUUCAGUCACUCUGAGCCCCCAGCUCAGCAUGUUGGGAGGUGCAGUCAGGUAUAGUGGAGAAGCAGUGCUCACACUGGACAGGAGAGGGCGCUAUAAACACAUACUGCUGGCAGGCCCAGGAAGGAGGAAGUGGGUUGGGGUCAAGUGUGCACUUUGUGGUCGUUUCAGGAACAAAACCAGCAUAUAUUGUACUCAAGAAUGUCCUUAACGUGUCUACAAUGCAAUGUAGAGCACCACAGAGAUGCCUGCCUCUGGGUGGCCGGGACAUUGAUCUUUAAAUUAGACAAGGAUUUAGAAUCGUUUAAGGCCAUUCAAAAUCACAGAGCAAUGAACUCGAACUUGAGCGGGGUUUAUUUCAUCUGCUUAGUACGAGAGGAAACUGUGACUCUGCCUUUCAGAGCCAUCAAAGGCGAGCUCUCCCAACUUAAAGGGUGAGUGCCUUUGAUUGGGCACCGUCGACGUCAGGAACACUCCCCUCUUGACUGUUUCGAAGCCACGCUGCACAGGGCAUGGCUGCCUUAAAGCUGGGGCCUGCCCAUCCCUGAGCCUGAAACGCCCUUCCUCCAAAUGUGCGCAGGGCUCACCCUCCGCCUUCACGGUGUCUCUGUUUAAAUGGUACCCAGCCAGUCAACCACUUUGAAAAAGGAACCCAGCCGAAGGGUGAUGCUCAAAAGCAGUCCCUACUGGUGAGGGGGAGAUACUCACUGGUCAGCACAGUCGCUGGCAGGGCGACAUGACCAGCACAUGUGCCCUGCACACACAUGCAUGUGUACACACGUGUGCACACACACACACACCCUAUGCUUCCUCUGACUUUCUUUCAUUUAGCACUUUUAUCACCAUGUGACCAUUUGAUAUGGGCUUCCCAGGUAUCUUAGCGGUGAAGAAUCUGCCUGCCAAUCAGGAGACUCAGGUUCGAUCACUGGGGUCAGGAAGAUCUCUUGGAGAAGGAAAUGUCCACCCAUCCCAGUAUUCUUGCCUGAGAAAUCCCAAGGACAGAGAAGCCUGGAGGGCUACAGUCCCUGCGGUUGCAAAGGAGUCUAACACGGGUAGCGAGACAAUAACAACCACCAUCCGAUAUGCCUUAGAUUCUAAAUAGUUGUUAGUAUCUUUAUUGCCCAUCUUUCCCCACUGGAAUAUAAGCAUCUUAAAGGCAGGGAUUUUCACCAGUUUUGCUCUGUGUAUGUCAAAGAACCACAGUCAGACCCAGCGAUGAUAUAUAUUCAAGGAAAUCAAAACCACAGGAAAAUGUGUAUGAAGUGUGAACAGCUUUUCAAUUUCAUUACUGUGUCUUUCCUUCACUGACCUUGCAAAUUGGGCUAUUUACACCUCACGUGUGUAUUUUCCCAUAUUUACAGCAAACAUUCCUACUGCCUGAAAAUU
Molecule: long non-coding RNA, 5336 nt
Organism: Bubalus bubalis (water buffalo)
Lineage: Eukaryota; Metazoa; Chordata; Mammalia; Artiodactyla; Bovidae
Exons: 3
Source: RefSeq, a predicted model, not a curated record